This 497-nucleotide ribosomal RNA is filed under the name uncultured bacterium. RNAcentral describes it as "partial 16S ribosomal RNA". It matches the Rfam family "Bacterial small subunit ribosomal RNA", at positions 28 to 507 of the family's 1533-position model. The record is from RNAcentral.
GAUGAACGCUGGCGGCGUGCCUAAUACAUGCAAGUCGAGCGAACAGACGAGGAGCUUGCUCCUCUGACGUUAGCGGCGGACGGGUGAGUAACACGUGGAUAACCUACCUAUAAGACUGGGAUAACUUCGGGAAACCGGAGCUAAUACCGGAUAAUAUAUUGAACCGCAUGGUUCAAUAGUGAAAGACGGUUUUGCUGUCACUUAUAGCUGGAUCCGCGCCGCAUUAGCUAGUUGGUAAGGUAACGGCUUACCAAGGCAACGAUGCGUAGCCGACCGGAGAGGGGGAUCGGCCACACUGGAACUGAGACACGGUCCAGACUCCUACGGGAGGCAGCAGUAGGGAAUCUUCCGCAAUGGGCGAAAGCUUGACGGAGCAACGCCGCGUGAGUGAUGAAGGUCUUCGGAUCGUAAAACUCUGUUAUUAGGGAAGAACAAAUGUGUAAGUAACUAUGCACGUCUUGACGGUACCUAAUCAGAAAGCCACGGCUAACUACGUG